This 457-nucleotide ribosomal RNA is filed under the name uncultured bacterium. RNAcentral's name for it is "partial 16S ribosomal RNA". It matches the Rfam family "Bacterial small subunit ribosomal RNA", at positions 28 to 523 of the family's 1533-position model. The record is from RNAcentral.
GAUGUACGCUGGCGGCGUGCCUAAUACAUGCAAGUCGAGCGGUAAGGCCCUUCGGGGUACACGAGCGGCGGACGGCUGAGUAACACGUAGGAACCUACCCCAAACUGAGGGAUAAGCACCAGAAAUGGUGUCUAAUACCGCAUGUGCUCUACGGAGUAAAGCUUCGGCGGUUUGGGAAGGGCCUGCGUCCGAUUAGCUAGUUGGUGGUAUAAAAGACUACCAAGGCGACGAUCGGUAGCUGGUCUGAGAGGAUGAUCAGCCAGACUGGGACUGAGACACGGCCCAGACUCCUACGGGAGGCAGCAGUAGGGAAUUUUCCACAAUGGGCGAAAGCCUGAUGGAGCAACGCCGCGUGCAGGAUGAAUGCCUUCGGGUUGUAAACUGCUUUUAUCUGUGACGAAUAUGACGGUAGCAGAUGAAUAAGGACCUGCUAACUACGUGCCAGCAGCCGCCGUAA